This 443-nucleotide ribosomal RNA is filed under the name uncultured bacterium. Its description in RNAcentral is "partial 16S ribosomal RNA". It matches the Rfam family "Bacterial small subunit ribosomal RNA", at positions 338 to 795 of the family's 1533-position model. The record is from RNAcentral.
CCUACGGGAGGCAGCAGUGGGGAAUAUUGGGCAAUGGGCGCAAGCCUGACCCAGCAACGCCGCGUGAAGGAAGAAGGCUUUCGGGUUGUAAACUUCUUUUCUCAGGGACGAAGCAAGUGACGGUACCUGAGGAAUAAGCCACGGCUAACUACGUGCCAGCAGCCGCGGUCAUACGUAGGUGGCAAGCGUUAUCCGGAUUUACUGGGUGUAAAGGGCGUGUAGGCGGGUACGCAAGACAGGUGUGAAAACCAUGGGCUCAACCUGUGGCCUGCAUUUGAAACUGUGUUUCUUGAGUACUGGAGAGGCAGACGGAAUGCCUAGUGUAGCGGUGAAAUGCGUAGAUAUUAGGAGGAACACCAGGGGCGAAGGCGGUCUGCUGGACAGCAACUGACGCUGAGGCGCGAAAGCGUGGGGAGCAAACAGGAUUAGAUACCCGGGUAGUC